AUAACGCAGCUGCCAUGCGCUCCUUCAACCAACAAUCAUGAACCAUUUGGUCUUACCUAGCCGCUCACAUGUGCUCGCGUGCUGCGCUGCCUAGUUACUCGCAGUUGUUUGGAUAAAAAAUACUUUUUACUCUGACGAAUUUGAAUUUUUAAUAUCUAAGCAAAGUUUGUUACGGACGGACGUGUGUGUUUUGGACGUGAAGUGCGGCAAACUACAAAAAAUACUGUAAAGUGGAAAAUAGCAAAAUAAAUAAAAAUAAACAAAAAAAAUUAACGUAUUAACGUUACGGACACGCAAUGUCCAAGUGGCGUGCAAGUGUUUAAUCUCUUGUGGUGUGCAUUUUUAUUUUGUUAUAAUUUUUCGUUUACGGAGUGAAAACUAAAAUUCAUAAAAAUAUUAUAUGAGUAUUUGAAAAAUGUAAAAAGUAUGGAAAGAAAUACUUUCUAAGCUGUGAGGAAUAAAUAUAAGGAAGCAGUUUUAUAUGUAUGUACAUAAGUGUGUUUUAACUUUUUUAUUAAAAGUGCCGUUACCAGUGCAAACAAAUAACAAAGUAAAACUUCUAAAACUUUGCCGUUCUUUAUUAACGAAGAAUAUUUAACAAAAUAAAGUGUCAAAACAUUGACCUAUAAAUACAUACAUAUGUUUGGUUAUGAGGAAAUGUGCAGUUAAAAACAUUGCGCGCCAUUAACCGUUCCUUGCAGAGAAAUAAAAAAAAAUACACUACAAAAAGAAGCAAAAAAAAA
Ceratitis capitata (Mediterranean fruit fly) is the source of this 743-nucleotide long non-coding RNA. RefSeq lists it as uncharacterized. The transcript has 2 exons. NCBI's taxonomy places the organism in Eukaryota, Metazoa, Arthropoda, Insecta, Diptera, Tephritidae. The record is from RefSeq and is a predicted model, not a curated record.